This 253-nucleotide ribosomal RNA is filed under the name uncultured bacterium. RNAcentral's name for it is "partial 16S ribosomal RNA". It matches the Rfam family "Bacterial small subunit ribosomal RNA", at positions 524 to 776 of the family's 1533-position model. The record is from RNAcentral.
UACGAAGGUGGCUAGCGUUGUUCGGAAUCACUGGGCGUAAAGGGCGCGUAGGCGGCCGAUCAAGUCGGUGGUGAAAGCCUGUGGCUCAACCACAGAAUUGCCUUCGAUACUGUUUGGCUUGAGACCGGAAGAGGUAAGUGGAACUGCGAGUGUAGAGGUGAAAUUCGUAGAUAUUCGCAAGAACACCAGUGGCGAAGGCGGCUUACUGGACCGGUUCUGACGCUGAGGCGCGAAAGCGUGGGGAGCAAACAGG